Molecule: ribosomal RNA, 506 nt
Filed under: uncultured bacterium
Lineage: Bacteria
Description: partial 16S ribosomal RNA
Rfam family: Bacterial small subunit ribosomal RNA
Source: RNAcentral
AGUGAACGCUGGCGGUAGGCCUAACACAUGCAAGUCGAACGGCAGCACAGGAGAGCUUGCUCUCUGGGUGGCGAGUGGCGGACGGGUGAGGAAUACAUCGGAGUCUACUUUUUCGUGGGGGAUAACGUAGGGAAACUUACGCUAAUACCGCAUGCGACCUACGGGUGAAAGCAGGGGACCUUCGGGCCUUGCGCGAUUGAAUGAGCCGAUGUCGGAUUAGUUAGUUGGCGGGGUAAAGGCCCACCAAGGCGACGAUCCGUAGCUGGUCUGAGAGGAUGAUCAGCCACACUGGAACUGAGACACGGUCCAGACUCCUACGGGAGGCAGCAGUGGGGAAUAUUGGACAAUGGGCGCAAGCCUGAUCCAGCCAUACCGCGUGGGUGAAGAAGGCCUUCGGGUUGUAAAGCCCUUUUGUUGGGAAAGAAAUCCAGCUGGCUAAUACCCGGUUGGGAUGACGGUACCCAAAGAAUAAGCACCGGCUAACUUCGUGCCAGCCGCCGCGGUAA